CCAGACUCCUACGGGAGGCAGCAGUGGGGAAUAUUGCACAAUGGGGGAAACCCUGAUGCAGCGACGCCGCGUGGAGGAAGAAGGUCUUCGGAUUGUAAACUCCUGUCCUUGGGGACGAUAAUGACGGUACCCAAGGAGGAAGCACCGGCUAACUACGUGCCAGCAGCCGCGGUCAUACGUAGGAUCCGAGCAUUAUCCGGAGUGACUGGGUGUAAAGAGUUGCGUAGGUGGCAUAGUAAGUAGCUAGUGAAAUCUGGUGGCUCAACCAUUCAGACUAUUAGCUAAACUGCUAAGCUCGAGACCGUUAGGGGUAACUGGAAUUUCUAGUGUAGGAGUGAAAUCCGUAGAUAUUAGAAGGAACACCGAUAGCGUAGGCAGGUUACUGGGACGGUUCUGACACUAAGGCACGAAAGCGUAGGGAGCAAACGGGAUUAGAUACCCGCGUA
Molecule: ribosomal RNA, 446 nt
Filed under: uncultured bacterium
Lineage: Bacteria
Description: bacterial SSU rRNA
Rfam family: Bacterial small subunit ribosomal RNA
Source: RNAcentral